Molecule: ribosomal RNA, 898 nt
Filed under: Salmonella enterica subsp. enterica serovar Typhimurium
Lineage: Bacteria; Pseudomonadati; Pseudomonadota; Gammaproteobacteria; Enterobacterales; Enterobacteriaceae
Description: partial 23S ribosomal RNA
Rfam family: Bacterial large subunit ribosomal RNA
Source: RNAcentral
AUCUAAGUACCCCGAGGAAAAGAAAUCAACCGAGAUUCCCCCAGUAGCGGCGAGCGAACGGGGAGGAGCCCAGAGCCUGAAUCAGCAUGUGUGUUAGUGGAAGCGUCUGGAAAGGCGCGCGAUACAGGGUGACAGCCCCGUACACAAAAGCGCAUGUGCUGUGAGCUCGAUGAGUAGGGCGGGACACGUGGUAUCCUGUCUGAAUAUGGGGGGACCAUCCUCCAAGGCUAAAUACUCCUGACUGACCGAUAGUGAACCAGUACCGUGAGGGAAAGGCGAAAAGAACCCCGGCGAGGGGAGUGAAAAAGAACCUGAAACCGUGUACGUACAAGCAGUGGGAGCCCCACCACCAAAGCAUUCUCUGGUGUUGAAGGCCCUGCAAAGCAGCAUCGCGGUGGCGGAGCGUCGUUUGCGACGCCCAACACACAAAACAAGCGGUGAAUGCUUUGGGGUGGGGUGACUGCGUACCUUUUGUAUAAUGGGUCAGCGACUUAUAUUCUGUAGCAAGGUUAACCGAAUAGGGGAGCCGGAGGGAAACCGAGUCUUAAUUGGGCGUUAAGUUGCAGGGUAUAGACCCGAAACCCGGUGAUCUAGCCAUGGGCAGGUUGAAGGUUGGGUAACACUAACUGGAGGACCGAACCGACUAAUGUUGAAAAAUUAGCGGAUGACCUGUGGCUGGGGGUGAAAGGCCAAUCAAACCGGGAGAUAGCUGGUUCUCCCCGAAAGCUAUUUAGGUAGCGCCUCGUGAAUUCAUCUCCGGGGGUAGAGCACUGUUUCGGCUAGGGGGCCAUCCCGGCUUACCAACCCGAUGCAAACUGCGAAUACCGGAGAAUGUUAUCACGGGAGACACACGGCGGGUGCUAACGUCCGUCGUGAAGAGGGAAACAACCCAGACCGC